GACGAACGCUGGCGGCGUGCCUAAUACAUGCAAGUCGAACGCAGUGGGGACGGGUGAGUAACACGUGGGUAACCUCCCAUCAGAGGGGAUAACACUUGGAAACAGGUGCUAAACCGAUACUGAUGGAUGGACCCGCGGUGCAUUAGUUAGUUGGUGAGGUAACGGCUCACCAAGGCCACGAUCGAUAGCGGGGCUGGGAGGGUUACCGGCCACACUGGGACUGAGACACGGCCCAGACUCCGACGGGAGGCAGUAGUGGGGAAGAGUCGGCAAUGGACGAAAGUCUGACCGAGCAACGCCGCGUGAGUGAAGAAGGUUUUCGGAUCGUAAAGCUCUUUUGUUAGGGAGGCGGUAUCUAACCAAAAAGCAACGGCUAACUACGUGCCAGCAGCCGCGGUAAUUC
RNAcentral lists this ribosomal RNA (403 nucleotides) under uncultured bacterium. RNAcentral's name for it is "partial 16S ribosomal RNA". It matches the Rfam family "Bacterial small subunit ribosomal RNA", at positions 28 to 526 of the family's 1533-position model. The record is from RNAcentral.